UGACCUCAUUGGGGUAGGACAACCCGCUAGAC
RNAcentral lists this ribosomal RNA (32 nucleotides) under mycorrhizal fungus O-66 of Dactylorhiza incarnata. RNAcentral describes it as "partial 26S ribosomal RNA". Lineage: Eukaryota; Fungi; Basidiomycota; Agaricomycetes; Cantharellales; Tulasnellaceae. The record is from RNAcentral.